This 342-nucleotide ribosomal RNA is filed under the name Triticum aestivum (bread wheat). Its description in RNAcentral is "partial small subunit ribosomal RNA". The record is from RNAcentral. Lineage: Eukaryota; Viridiplantae; Streptophyta; Magnoliopsida; Poales; Poaceae.
AUGAGUAUCCUCGUGUGCAACUGUCGUGGUGCUGGCAAACCAGCGACAGUUCGAGAAUUUCGCAAUAUGGCGAAGCAGUUUGCCCCCUCUAUUGUAUGCAUUGUUGAGACUCAAUUAGAGGGUAGUCGUGUAGAAAAUUUAGCUGAAACACUUGGUUACAAUAAAGGUUUUGCUGUUAGUAGCUCUGGCAGGAGUGGUGGCUUAGAUGUGUUUUGGAAUGAUUCAAUAAAGGUUGAAAUUAUCGGUUACUUGGAGUACCAUGUGGAUGUGGAGGUGGAUUCCUUAUUAGGUGUUCAUGCAAGAUUUACCUUUGUCUAUGGAGAGGCCCUGGCAAAUGAGUGA